RNAcentral lists this ribosomal RNA (440 nucleotides) under uncultured bacterium. Its description in RNAcentral is "partial 16S ribosomal RNA". It matches the Rfam family "Bacterial small subunit ribosomal RNA", at positions 338 to 795 of the family's 1533-position model. The record is from RNAcentral.
ACUACGGGGGGCAGCAGUGGGGAAUAUUGCACAAUGGGGGAAACCCUGAUGCAGCGACGCCGCGUGAGUGAAGAAGUAAUUCGUUAUGUAAAGCUCUAUCAGCAGGGAAGAAAAUGACGGUACCUGAGUAAGAAGCCCCGGCUAACUACGUGCCAGCAGCCGCGGUAAUACGUAGGGGGCAAGCGUUAUCCGGAUGUACUGGGUGUAAAGCGAUCGUAGACGGCAUUGAAGGUCUGGAGUGAAAGGCGGGGGCCUAACCCCCGGACUGCUGUGGAAACUGUACGGCUGGAGUGCAGGAGAGGUAAGUGGAAUUCCUAGUGUAGCGGUGAAAUGCGUAGAUAUUAGGAGGAACACCAGUGGCGAAGGCGGCUUACUGGACUGUAACUGACGUUGAGGCUCGAAAGCGUGGGGAGCAAACAGGAUUAGAUACCCCUGUAGUC